GAUCUAGCCAUGGGCAGGUUGAAGGUUGGGUAACACUAACUGGAGGACCGAACCGACUAAUGUUGAAAAAUUAGCGGAUGACCUGUGGCUGGGGGUGAAAGGCCAAUCAAACCGGGAGAUAGCUGGUUCUCCCCGAAAGCUAUUUAGGUAGCGCCUCGUGAAUUCAUCUCCGGGGGUAGAGCACUGUUUCGGCUAGGGGGCCAUCCCGGCUUACCAACCCGAUGCAAACUGCGAAUACCGGAGAAUGUUAUCACGGGAGACACACGGCGGGUGCUAACGUCCGUCGUGAAGAGGGAAACAACCCAGACCGCCAGCUAAGGUCCCAAAGUCAUGGUUAAGUGGGAAACGAUGUGGGAAGGCCCAGACAGCCAGGAUGUUGGCUUAGAAGCAGCCAUCAUUUAAAGAAAGCGUAAUAGCUCACUGGUCGAGUCGGCCUGCGCGGAAGAUGUAACGGGGCUAAACCAUGCACCGAAGCUGCGGCAGCGACACUGUGUGUUGUUGGGUAGGGGAGCGUUCUGUAAGCCUGCGAAGGUGGCCUGUGAGGGUUGCUGGAGGUAUCAGAAGUGCGAAUGCUGACAUAAGUAACGAUAAAGCGGGUGAAAAGCCCGCUCGCCGGAAGACCAAGGGUUCCUGUCCAACGUUAAUCGGGGCAGGGUGAGUCGACCCCUAAGGCGAGGCCGAAAGGCGUAGUCGAUGGGAAACGGGUUAAUAUUCCCGUACUUGGUGUUACUGCGAAGGGGGGACGGAGAAGGCUAUGUUGGCCGGGCGACGGUUGUCCCGGUUUAAGCGUGUAGGUGUGUGUUCCAGGUAAAUCCGGUUCACUUUAACACUGAGGCGUGACGACGAGGCACUACGGUGCUGAAGCAACAAAUGCCCUGCUUCCAGGAAAAGCCUCUAAGCAUCAGGUAACAUCAAAUCGUACCCCAAACCGACACAGGUGGUCAGGUAGAGAAUACCAAGGCGCUUGAGAGAACUCGGGUGAAGGAACUAGGCAAAAUGGUGCCGUAACUUCGGGAGAAGGCACGCUGACACGUAGGUGAAGUGAUUUACUCAUGGAGCUGAAGUCAGUCGAAGAUACCAGCUGGCUGCAACUGUUUAUUAAAAACACAGCACUGUGCAAACACGAAAGUGGACGUAUACGGUGUGACGCCUGCCCGGUGCCGGAAGGUUAAUUGAUGGGGUCAGCGCAAGCGAAGCUCCUGAUCGAAGCCCCGGUAAACGGCGGCCGUAACUAUAACGGUCCUAAGGUAGCGAAAUUCCUUGUCGGGUAAGUUCCGACCUGCACGAAUGGCGUAAUGAUGGCCAGGCUGUCUCCACCCGAGACUCAGUGAAAUUGAACUCGCUGUGAAGAUGCAGUGUACCCGCGGCAAGACGGAAAGACCCCGUGAACCUUUACUAUAGCUUGACACUGAACAUUGAGCCUUGAUGUGUAGGAUAGGUGGGAGGCUUUGAAGUGUGGACGCCAGUCUGCAUGGAGCCGACCUUGAAAUACCACCCUUUAAUGUUUGAUGUUCUAACGUGGACCCGUUACCCGGGUUGCGGACAGUGUCUGGUGGGUAGUUUGACUGGGGCGGUCUCCUCCUAAAGAGUAACGGAGGAGCACGAAGGUUGGCUAAUCCUGGUCGGACAUCAGGAGGUUAGUGCAAUGGCAUAAGCCAGCUUGACUGCGAGCGUGACGGCGCGAGCAGGUGCGAAAGCAGGUCAUAGUGAUCCGGUGGUUCUGAAUGGAAGGGCCAUCGCUCAACGGAUAAAAGGUACUCCGGGGAUAACAGGCUGAUACCGCCCAAGAGUUCAUAUCGACGGCGGUGUUUGGCACCUCGAUGUCGGCUCAUCACAUCCUGGGGCUGAAGUAGGUCCCAAGGGUAUGGCUGUUCGCCAUUUAAAGUGGUACGCGAGCUGGGUUUAGAACGUCGUGAGACAGUUCGGUCCCUAUCUGCCGUGGGCGCUGGAGAACUGAGGGGGGCUGCUCCUAGUACGAGAGGACCGGAGUGGACGCAUCACUGGUGUUCGGGUUGUCAUGCCAAUGGCACUGCCCGGUAGCUAAAUGCGGAAGAGAUAAGUGCUGAAAGCAUCUAAGCACGAAACUUGCCCCGA
This 2094-nucleotide ribosomal RNA is filed under the name Salmonella enterica subsp. enterica serovar Enteritidis. RNAcentral's name for it is "partial 23S ribosomal RNA". It matches the Rfam family "Bacterial large subunit ribosomal RNA", at positions 727 to 2802 of the family's 2925-position model. The record is from RNAcentral. Lineage: Bacteria; Pseudomonadati; Pseudomonadota; Gammaproteobacteria; Enterobacterales; Enterobacteriaceae.